AGCGAGGUACAGUAGUGGCCUAACUGACCAGUCUCAUAAUCUGGUUUUCGUCGGUUCGAAUCCGACCCUCGCUC
This 74-nucleotide transfer RNA is filed under the name marine sediment metagenome. RNAcentral describes it as "tRNA-Met". It matches the Rfam family "tRNA". From Rfam's summary of the family: Transfer RNA (tRNA) molecules are approximately 80 nucleotides in length. Their secondary structure includes four short double-helical elements and three loops (D, anti-codon, and T loops). Further hydrogen bonds mediate the characteristic L-shaped molecular structure. tRNAs have two regions of fundamental functional importance: the anti-codon, which is responsible for specific mRNA codon recognition, and the 3' end, to which the tRNAs corresponding amino acid is attached (by aminoacyl-tRNA synthetases). tRNAs cope with the degeneracy of the genetic code in two manners: having more than one tRNA (with a specific anti-codon) for a particular amino acid; and 'wobble' base-pairing, i.e. permitting non-standard base-pairing at the 3rd anti-codon position. The record is from RNAcentral.